Molecule: transfer RNA, 73 nt
Filed under: Staphylococcus aureus
Lineage: Bacteria; Bacillati; Bacillota; Bacilli; Caryophanales; Staphylococcaceae
Description: tRNA-His-GTG
Source: RNAcentral
GACCACCGGUAUAAUUAACUGUUAUUUACAUAACAUAACGUAUUAGAAACCUUGUAAAACAAGGUUUCUUUUG